RNAcentral lists this unclassified non-coding RNA (268 nucleotides) under Hevea brasiliensis (rubber tree). Lineage: Eukaryota; Viridiplantae; Streptophyta; Magnoliopsida; Malpighiales; Euphorbiaceae. The record is from RNAcentral.
CUGUAAUUGAACACGAGUAUGUCACCAGCUCUAAAGCGCUUCCCCUUGGGCCAGCCGACACUGUUAAAGGUCCAGCCACCGGCACCACCCACCGUAUAGGUAGCUGCCUCUGCAGUCACCACCAUCAGGCACAGCACCGCCGCCGCCGCCACCACUGCACUGCCUCUUCCCUGAGACAUCUUCUCUCUCUCACUACACUAAUGACAAGCAACAACAAAAGAUUGGGAAAAAAACCUAAAGAGAGUGUGUUAGCUUGUGCGUGUGUGAG